This 512-nucleotide ribosomal RNA is filed under the name uncultured Actinomycetales bacterium. RNAcentral describes it as "bacterial SSU rRNA". It matches the Rfam family "Bacterial small subunit ribosomal RNA", at positions 384 to 893 of the family's 1533-position model. The record is from RNAcentral. Lineage: Bacteria; Bacillati; Actinomycetota; Actinomycetes; Actinomycetales.
UGAUGCAGCGACGCCGCGUGAGGGAUGACGGCCUUCGGGUUGUAAACCUCUUUCGGCAGGGAAGAAGUCUCUGGGUUUUCUUGGGGGUGACGGUACCUGCAGAAGAAGCACCGGCUAACUACGUGCCAGCAGCCGCGGUAAUACGUAGGGUGCAAGCGUUGUCCGGAAUUAUUGGGCGUAAAGAGCUCGUAGGCGGCGUGUCGCGUCGGUUGUGAAAGCCCGGGGCUUAACUCCGGGUCUGCAGUCGAUACGGGCAUGCUGGAGUUCGGCAGGGGAGACUGGAAUUCCUGGUGUAGCGGUGAAAUGCGCAGAUAUCAGGAGGAACACCGGUGGCGAAGGCGGGUCUCUGGGCCGAUACUGACGCUGAGGAGCGAAAGCGUGGGGAGCGAACAGGAUUAGAUACCCUGGUAGUCCACGCCGUAAACGGUGGGCACUAGGUGUGGGCUGCUUCAUUGUGGUCUGUGCCGUAGCUAACGCAUUAAGUGCCCCGCCUGGGGAGUACGGCCGCAAGG